GAAUUGUAUGAAAGGAAAGAAGACCAGCAUUCCCCUUGACAAGGAUGGAAGAGAUCCUUAGGUCUGAUAAUAUACAGACCAUUAAGAAAAGGCUGCAUGCAUAUUUGGGAUGCCAGGAGAAUCUGUUUC
Molecule: small nuclear RNA, 129 nt
Organism: Ochotona princeps (American pika)
Lineage: Eukaryota; Metazoa; Chordata; Mammalia; Lagomorpha; Ochotonidae
Source: RefSeq, a predicted model, not a curated record